GGAGUUAAAGAGCUUGCUCUUUAAUUUAGUGGCGAACGGGUGAGUAAUAUAUCGGAACAUGUCCGGAAGUGGGGGAUAACGAAUCGAAAGAUUCGCUAAUACCGCAUAUGCCCUGAGGGGGAAAGGGGGGGAUCGCAAGACCUCUUGCUUUCGGAGUGGCCGAUAUCGGAUUAGCUAGAUGGUGAGGUAAAGGCUCACCAUGGCGACGAUCCGUAGCUGGUCUGAGAGGAUGAUCAGCCACACUGGAACUGAGACACGGUCCAGACUCCUACGGGAGGCAGCAGUGGGGAAUUUUGGACAAUGGGCGAAAGCCUGAUCCAGCCAUGCCGCGUGAGUGAAGAAGGCCUUCGGGUUGUAAAGCUCUUUCAGCCGGAAAGAAAAGGUUCCAGAUAAUACCUGGAGCUGAUGACGGUACCGGAAGA
RNAcentral lists this ribosomal RNA (422 nucleotides) under uncultured bacterium. RNAcentral describes it as "bacterial SSU rRNA". It matches the Rfam family "Bacterial small subunit ribosomal RNA", at positions 68 to 485 of the family's 1533-position model. The record is from RNAcentral.